Molecule: ribosomal RNA, 465 nt
Filed under: uncultured bacterium
Lineage: Bacteria
Description: bacterial SSU rRNA
Rfam family: Bacterial small subunit ribosomal RNA
Source: RNAcentral
GCUACGGGGGGCACCAGUGGGGAAUAUUGCACAAUGGGCGCAGGCCUGAUGCAGCCAUGCCGCGUGUAUGAAGAAGGCCUUCGGGUUGUAAAGUACUUUCAGCGGGGAGGAAGGUGUUGAGGUUAAUAACCUCAGCAAUUGACGUUACCCGCAGAAGAAGCACCAGCUAAUUCCGUGCCAGCAGCCGCGGUAAUACGGAGGGUGCAAGCGUUAAUCGGAAUUACUGGGCGUAAAGCGCACGCAGGCGGUCUGUCAAGUCGGAUGUGAAAUCCCCGGGCUCAACCUGGGAACUGCAUUAGAAACUGGCAGGCUGGAGUCUUGUAGAGGGGGGUAGAAUUCCAGGUGUAGCGGUGAAAUGCGUAGAGAUCUGGAGGAAUACCGGUGGCGAAGGCGGCCCCCUGGACAAAGACUGACGCUCAGGUGCGAAAGCGUGGGGAGCAAACAGGAUUAGAUACCCCAGUAGUC